UACAGAGGUCUCAAGCGUUGUUCGGAUUCAUUGGGCGUAAAGGGCGGGUAGGCGGCCACCGCAAGUCAGUUGUGAAAUCUCUGGGCUUAACCCAGAAAGGUCAACUGAUACUGCGGGGCUAGAGUGCAGAAGGGGCAACUGGAAUUCUCGGUGUAGCGGUGAAAUGCGUAGAUAUCGAGAGGAACACCUGCGGCGAAGGCGGGUUGCUGGGCUGACACUGACGCUGAACUGCGAAAGCUAGGGGAGCGAACGGG
RNAcentral lists this ribosomal RNA (254 nucleotides) under uncultured bacterium. RNAcentral's name for it is "partial 16S ribosomal RNA". It matches the Rfam family "Bacterial small subunit ribosomal RNA", at positions 524 to 776 of the family's 1533-position model. The record is from RNAcentral.